This 104-nucleotide ribosomal RNA is filed under the name uncultured bacterium. RNAcentral's name for it is "partial 16S ribosomal RNA". It matches the Rfam family "Bacterial small subunit ribosomal RNA", at positions 1379 to 1482 of the family's 1533-position model. The record is from RNAcentral.
CCUUGUACACACCGCCCGUCACACCAUGGGAGUUGGCUUUACCCGAAGACGGUGCGCUAACCGCAAGGAGGCAGCCGGCCACGGUAGGGUCAGCGACUGGGGUG